RNAcentral lists this ribosomal RNA (367 nucleotides) under uncultured bacterium. RNAcentral's name for it is "bacterial SSU rRNA". It matches the Rfam family "Bacterial small subunit ribosomal RNA", at positions 29 to 419 of the family's 1533-position model. The record is from RNAcentral.
AACGAACGCUGGCGGCAUGCCUAACACAUGCAAGUCGAACGAAGUCUUCGGACUUAGUGGCGCACGGGUGCGUAACGCGUGGGAAUCUGCCCUUGGGUGCGGAAUAACUUCUCGAAAGGGAUGCUAAUACCGCAUAAUGUCGUAAGACCAAAGAUUUAUCGCCCAAGGAUGAGCCCGCGUAAGAUUAGCUAGUUGGUGGGGUAAAAGCCUACCAAGGCGACGAUCUUUAGCUGGGUCUGAGAGGAUGAUCAGCCACACUGGGACUGAGACACGGCCCAGACUCCUACGGGAGGCAGCAGUGGGGAAUAUUGGGACAAUGGGCGAAAGCCUAGGAUCCAGCAAUGCCGCGUGAGUGAUGAAGGCCCUA